ACGGAAGGCAGCAGUGGGGAAUAUUGCACAAUGGAGGAAACUCUGAUGCAGCGACGCCGCGUGAGGGAAGAAGGUCUUCGGAUUGUAAACCUCUGUUGUCAGGGACGAUGAUGACGGUACCUGACGAGGAAGCCACGGCUAACUACGUGCCAGCAGCCGCGGUAAAACGUAGGUGGCAAGCGUUGUCCGGAAUUACUGGGUGUAAAGGGAGCGCAGGCGGGAGAGCAAGUUGGGAGUGAAAUCUGUGGGCUCAACCCACAAAUUGCUUUCAAAACUGUUUUUCUUGAGUGGUGUAGAGGUAGGCGGAAUUCCCGGUGUAGCGGUGGAAUGCGUAGAUAUCGGGAGGAACACCAGUGGCGAAGGCGGCCUACUGGGCACUAACUGACGCUGAGGCUCGAAAGCAUGGGUAGCAAACAGGAUUAGAUACCCUGGUA
This 434-nucleotide ribosomal RNA is filed under the name uncultured bacterium. Its description in RNAcentral is "bacterial SSU rRNA". It matches the Rfam family "Bacterial small subunit ribosomal RNA", at positions 341 to 792 of the family's 1533-position model. The record is from RNAcentral.